Triticum aestivum (bread wheat) is the source of this 124-nucleotide non-coding RNA. NCBI's taxonomy places the organism in Eukaryota, Viridiplantae, Streptophyta, Magnoliopsida, Poales, Poaceae. The record is from Rfam.
CAGCUACUCCCUUCGUCCGGAAAUACUUGUCCUAGGAAUGGCUGUAUCUAGACUUAUUUUAGUGAUAGAUACAUCCAUUUUAUCCCUUUCUAGGACAAGUAUUUCCGGGCGGAGGGAGUACUAU